AACAACACAGCUUUGGGCUUGAAAAUGAAAUGAAGAAUAUUCCAUGGGGAAGACAGUGAAGAAAUCAGCCAGGAUGGAUAUAAAGACAUCAAAAUGACUUUGAGAUCUAUAAAAAAUAGAUGCCAAAAUUUGUAUAUUCUACCGAUAUCCAGGUAACACAGUCCAUUUGUUUGCACAAUGUUUAUUUUUUCUUUACUCCUUGCUAAUUCUUCAUUUCAUCUAAAGCUACAUGAACACUUUGACUUUUCCUACUCUUUACCAACUAAUUCAUAUGGCUUCACUUUAAAACAAAAAUAAGAGAAUUUCAUGGAUUAGAUAUUUAUGGCAUUGCUCUUAAUUUUGAGUUUCAGUUUUUAAAUUACAGAAGAAUGUCAGAGCUAGUGAUUUUUGGAAAGAGGUAUUGAUACAAUUAUACAGGAAUUAUUCUGCUAACAUAAGUAGAAUAAUCUGGUAUGUUCUUUUCUCUAAAGAUACUCUGAUUGAUAUGAGAAUGCCAUAGAGUAUUGACAAAGAGAAAAAAAGUUUCUGCCAAAUUUUCAAGCUAUUUAAACAUGAGUUCUGUUUCAUAAUUUUGCCUACAAUCUCUUCCAAUAAAAAUGUUAUUGUCUCAGAAUAAAUGUUUAAUACCUAAAGUGUUCUUUGGUCUCAAAGUGUCAAAAUGUUAACAAUGUGAUUUGGUAUUACUGACUUUUUUCUAUCAGCAUAGCUGAGAACCACUGAUAUAAAAUUUCCAUAUAUUAAAAAUAUAUUUUCUCUCAUAACUUUAAAAAGUCUUCAUUUUUCUGAUUAAGCACUGAAACUUUGACUUUUAAUUCUUCUUUUUUGAAUUCUGAUUAUUCAAGAUAGGUUAUUCACACUUUGGGCAACUCACUACAUUUCUGUGGCAUAUCAGAAAAGUCCUUUUUCUUGGUCAGCUUAUUUUAGGAAUCCUAUAAAUAUGUCCAAACUGCAAUACAAUGUGCUCAUGAGUUUGAUAUGUUUAUACAUUUGGAUAACCUUUUGGAUAACCAUUACUACAAUCAUCAUAUAGAAGAUUACCAUCAUCCCAUCUCCAAAGUGUUUCCUUAAUACCUGCCCAAUCCAUUCCACCUACACUCAUCAUAAUGCUAAACUUCAUUUAUCAUAAUGAUGCUAUUCAUCUUUAAUAGAUUUUCAAAUAAAUGGAUUCAUACAUUUUGAACUCUCUUGUGUAUGGAGUCCUUCACUCAAGAUAAUGUUGUUGAGGUGCAUCCAUGUUAUUGCAUGUCAUCAAUAGUUCAUUUCUUUUUAUUUCUGAGCACUAUUUCACUUAUGAUCAUACUGUUAAUUUGUUUAUCCAUUCAACAGUUAUAUAUAUGUUGUUUCCAGUUUGGAGUUCUUUCAAGUAAAGCUGCUGUGAACAUUCAUGUUCAAAUGUUUGUAUGGACAAAUGUUUUUAUUUUUUAAAAUGUCUAAAUUGGAGUGGCAGGGUCUCAUGGUAAGUAUAUGUUUAGCUUUAUAAGAAAGUGCAAAACUGCUUUCCAAAAUGUUUGUAUAUUUUUACAAUCCCACCAGCAAUGUACAAGAGUUCCAGUUGCUCCACAAUCUUGACAGAAUCUGGGUUUUGCCAGUCAUUUAUUUUAGUAAUUCUGUGUAUACAGACUUUCCUCUUUAAAAAAUUAUUUGUAUAAAUUUAAUGGAGUAUAAUCAUAAUUUUGUUACAUAGAUAUAUUGAGAGUGGUGAAGUCAGGGCUUUUAGUGUAUCCAUCACUGGAAUAAUGUACAUUGUACCCAGUAAUUAAUUUCUCUUCAUCCACCCCCUCCUACCCCCACCCUUCUGAGUCCCUAUUUUCUGUCAUUCCACACUCUACCUCUGUGUGUACACAUUAUUUAUUUCCACUUAUAAGUGAGAACAUGUGGUAUUUGUCAUUCUGUGUCUGAGUUGUUUCACUUAAGAUAGUGGCCUCCAGAGACUUUUCUAUCUUAUAUUAAAUUGCAUCUUCUCUGAUGACUGGCAUUGAACAUCUUUUGUGAUGAAUUUGAUCUUUCUAAUAUCUCAUUUUGUAAACUGUCUGUUAAAAAUUUUUGGUUUUUUUUUCCUGAGUUUAUUGUUUUGUUAUGCUUUAUUUUAUUAUAUUUUAUUGUGUGUUUAUUGUUUUAUUAUGUUUUAUUAUUGUUUUAUUAU
This 2143-nucleotide long non-coding RNA is filed under the name Homo sapiens (human). RNAcentral's name for it is "HSALNT0110097". The record is from RNAcentral. Lineage: Eukaryota; Metazoa; Chordata; Mammalia; Primates; Hominidae.